CGGGACGGGUGAGUAAUGUCUGGGAAACUGCCUGAUGGAGGGGGGUAACUACUGGAAACGGUAGCUAAUGCCGCAUAACGUCGCAAGACCAAAGAGGGGGACCUUAGGGCCUCUUGCCAUCGGAUGUGCCCAGAUGGGAUUAGCUAGUAGGUGGGGUAACGGCUCACCUAGGCGACGAUCCCUAGCUGGUCUGAGAGGAUGACCAGCCACACUGGAACUGAGACACGGUCCAG
RNAcentral lists this ribosomal RNA (233 nucleotides) under uncultured bacterium. RNAcentral describes it as "partial 16S ribosomal RNA". It matches the Rfam family "Bacterial small subunit ribosomal RNA", at positions 100 to 334 of the family's 1533-position model. The record is from RNAcentral.